This is a long non-coding RNA of Myotis myotis, 4615 nucleotides long. RefSeq lists it as uncharacterized. The record is from RefSeq and is a predicted model, not a curated record. The transcript has 3 exons. NCBI's taxonomy places the organism in Eukaryota, Metazoa, Chordata, Mammalia, Chiroptera, Vespertilionidae.
GCCGCCCCUACCCUCCAGUGUCUUAUGUCCAUUGGUUAUGCUUCUAUGCAUGCAUACAAGUCCUUCGGUUGAUCUCUUACCCCCAUCCCUCCUGCCCCCCAACCCUCCCCGGCCUUCCUGCUCCAUCUUUAUUAACCACACUCAUUGGAACUUCUUUUGUAUUUGGAGACACGAUAAUUUAGCAUUUGAAUUAUUUUCUACCAUAAGUGUUUUUCUUGUGUUUUUUUUUUUCUUUUUAAUUUAUCUUUAUUGUUUAAAGUAUUACAGAUGUCCCCUCUCCCUCCCCCGCAUUGACCCUCUCCACUCUGCACCUGCCCCACCCCCCACCUUCACCACAUUAUUGUCUGUGUCCAUGGGUUAUGCAUAUAUGUGUUUUUUUCCUCCUCAGAUUGUCAACUCCUUGGAAGAAACAUCACUUCUUAGACUGUCUUUGUAUUUCUUGCUCUUAUUGGUAAAGUAGAUGUCAAAAAUAACUAUGGUGCUGUAUGAAAUGGCUUAAGCCCUGCAGGAAUGGAAUAAAUCUAAUUAUCGCCAACUUUCCUCUUCGCUAUAGCAACACUAUAGCAUUGUUGCUAUAAUGUUGGUGUUAGAUUGUUGAUAAGGUGUGUGACUAUGAAACAGAUUAUAAGGUGAGCAAACAGGUAAUGCCUUGUGACUUUUUAAACAUUAUUAGGGUGUUUUCAAGGGAAAAUUAUUUUAGACAACUAUGACUAAUACCCUUCAACUCUGCAAAUAAUUUAAUUGCUGAUUAUUAGUGCAUCCAUUAAAUGAAUAUUUGGUUUCAAACGUAUUCUGACCAACCUCGUGAUAAACAAGCUAUUCCAACUAGAUGAAAAUUGAUAAUAUAUCAGGUUCCAAUUGACCAGAAGGCAAUCUUGUGGCUUGAUUUCAGGUAAGUAAUGCUCUGAGUUUCGUUCAAUUAAGUUCUCAUCUCCACUUCCCAGUUAUCUUGUUUUUUGUUUUGCUUCAUUUUGUCAUUUAAAUUCUGCUGUUGCAGCUUGUGGUAAGUGCAUCAUUUCAUGGCAUUCAAUUAGAGAAUCCUAGAUAAGCAUGACUUGGCCUGCCUACAUAAAAAUGUUCCUCAAAAUCUAGUUUGAGUCCUUUCCUAUCUGCAACUAAGCCCACCAGAGCUUCCUGGAUUAACUUGUGGGCCAUAACAUAACAAAGAAGGGCUUUACUCUCCAUUACUAAAUCUGGUCUCUACUUUGAAGUUAACUAAAUUCUGUCUUUGGUUAGAUUCCUCACUGCAGUGUUAAACUAAUCAACAUGAAACUUUAUUUUUUUUUACCAUACCAGUGUUCAGGUGACAAAACCUGACAAUUAUCUUCACGGUGACUAUUAAAAAAAUAUAUGUAUAUAUGUUUAUAUAUAUAUAUAUAUAAUCAUGAGAGCUAUGUGUGAUUGAAAGAAUUUGUUACAUGAAAACUCAGCAUUUUUUUUUGUAAACCAGCAAUCUUUAUCUAUUCCUCUUAGUGCAUAUCACCCAUGAAAGCAUUUGGAGCUAUAGAAAUGGUAAUAUUCUUGAAUAUAAAGGUAAAAAGGUUAAUGCUAUUUGAAAAUCAAAGACAUUUGAAUGAUGAUAUAUAUGAAAGGAAUGGAAAACUAAGAAGCACAUAUAAACUUCUAGGUAAAAAUGUUAGAUUACAUACAUCAAAUUUUGUAGCUUCCUAAAACCGAACUGAAAUGAAAGGGUUUCCCUACCACUGCCACUUACAAGGCAUAAACCUGUGAGGAGCACAGAAAAAUAGAAACACCAACAGAUUUGUGGGACCUGGAAAGAGCUAGAUAGAAGAGGCAAAAACUGAGCAGAAUUGAAAAAGCAGAAUCCUAGAAUAGUAGUGGAGAAAACCAGGAAAUAACCUAAUUCGAACUCCCACAGAUAUCCCAAAAGAUCUCAAGAAUUUGUAGCAUCAAGUACUUCUAGAAGUGGAGACAAACUACAAUUUUUUAGAACAACUUGUCUAAGAAGUUUUUAAUACCUUAGUUUUCCUCCCUCUUCCCCCUCCCUGCCACCUAUCCCACCAACACACUCCAACACAUACACACUGUGACUAGGGAAUCAUCAACUAGUCUCCACUCCAACAGAAGAAUAAAAAUUGAUAUGCCUAUUCUUUGGAAAGGGUAAAGACAGAGGGUCUCUAAAUUAGCAGAUGACAGGUUCAACUGAAGGCAGGAGUGCCAAACAGAAAAUAGGAUUGAAUGAAUGUGCAUAUUAGUUGCUGGGACCCAUUUCUCUAAUUUUCCGAAUUUAGUUCCUCAAAUGCUGAAACAAAGCCUUUAUCUUCCUGGUAGGAGGCUGGAAAAGUCUUCAGAAUGGACCAUUCCAAGAGGAAAGAUCUAAUUAGACUGAAAAUCCCAAGUCCUCCAAUAAUAUGGCCCAGUCAGAACACUCCUAGAAACUCACUGAUGAUUAGUCUCACGCAUAUGUUCUGAGCUUCCAAUCUGUGAUCACUAAAUAUUAAAUAUUAACAGAUAUCCAAGAAUUACCAGAUAUCCGAGGGAACCAUCUAAAAUGAAACAGGAAACAGAGAAAAGCAACUUGGAGAACAAAGACUACGCAAGGUGGGUAAGAUGUUUUUUAAAGCUAGUAAUAGCUUCAGAGAUAGAGGAAAGGUAUUACAGCUAUGAAACAAACAGGAUGCUUUAAAUAUGCAGAAAACAAAUUAAAAUUGAAAAUAUGAGCAGCAAUGAAAGAAUCAAAGGUAACAGAGAAGUGCAAAAGAAGAAAAGAAAAUUAGCAUUCCAGUUGAAGAGGUCCAUUAUUUAAACAGAAGUUCCAGAAAGGAGAAUAGAAAAAAAAAAUGAGAGUAUAAAAAGAAAUUAAGAAAAUAAUUUAUAGAAUUCUUUCAAACCAAAGGACAUGAAUUUCAAAGAAGGUUUUGGGAUGUCCUAACAAACCAAUGUAAAUAGACCAACAUCAGUAUGAAGUUUCAAAUCCUGGGACCUGAAAGAAGUUCAAAUAACUCCCAGAGAGAAAAAAUAGUCAUACAUAAAGGAAGCUCAAUUGCUUCACACUUUUCAAUAGUGACACCGAGAUCUAGAAGACAGUGGAGAAAUACCUAUAGAAUUCUCAAGAAAAAUGAUGUUUAAUCUGUAAUUUUAUACCCAGCCACAUUAUGUCAACCAAGUGUGAGGAAAGAAUAAGACUCUUUUUUUUUUUUUUUUUACAUGCAAGGUCUCAAAAUUUUUACUUUUUUUACCUCUCACAAAGCUACUGAAGCCUGCACUUCACCAGAAUGAGGGAAUAAAUCAAGAAAGAGAAAGACAUUGGUUAAUGGAGAUGGAACCCUGCACAGAUGAGAGGUGAAGCUGAAUCUUCAGGAUAAUGGUCAGAGCAGAAUAAAGAAGACUGUGUACUCUCAGAAUCAAGGGCAACCAGUUCAGAAGAAUCUUCUUUAAGAUUAUGAAAUUGAUGGAAUACCUGAUACAUCUGAAUGUCUUUCAGGACGAUUUAGACUGCAGUUGGCAAACUGUAGCCCAAAGUCCAGAACUAACCCAAGGCCUGAAACUUCCUGCCUAGCUCUCUUAAAAAUGACACAAAACAAUAAACGAAAAACUAGCACAACCACAAUGAUUUCCUGUUAAGCACAAAAGGCUUUGCAAAGGUAAAUAUUGUUGCAAAUGUAAGUAUUGUUGAAAAUGUUAGCGAUUCCUCUUUGAGUUUUAAUUGCCUCUGGGUUCUGAAUUCCCUUGCACUUAACCUUCUCCAGGUGAAUUAGCCAGGAGCGCCUCAGCGACCUGUCUUCUUUUGCCUUUCACAAGGCGUAUAGGAGGUGGUGGACAGCCAGAGGUUUUAUAGGAUUGCAGUACAAGAUUACCUUGGUCAUCACUGUAAUAGCAACUCAGGAAAGUCUCUAGUUGCCUAACCUGCUUCCCCCACAAUACUUCACAAAUUCUACAGAAACAGAAAUAGAAGUUUUAAUUACCUACAUUUAUAACUGUAGCAUCCUUGGAGAUUCAUGCUGGAUGUCUUAAAUGCUGUUUUGGUCACUGUAAAAAUAUCUACCAAAUGAGCAGGUUAUUACAAAAUGGAAAGGGCCAAUAGAACCACAGAGAUUGUCUCCCAUACUGUUAUGAUGUUAUGGUCAUAAGGAAACCCCUCUAAUGUGUGAAAUGUUUGCUGUGUGGAGACCCCAAUACUCUGUAACUUCCAAAAUGUAAUAAACAUGGUGAACGUCCCAAUAUCUUGAUGUAAACGCCCUAAGCCCCUAAAGUGUAAACGCCCUGCUCCUAGCAUAAGGCACACCAUCUGGCCCACACCGAUAAGACACAAGUUGUUUACUACCGGCUAUAUAAGCACCCGACUGUCUUCAGUCGAGGUCUCCUGCCUGAUGAGAGGAGGACUCCAUGUCGCUCCGUGAGGUGAGCCCCUGACUGACUGCUCUGCUGUGCGAGCCUGAACCAACUGCGGCCACAGGUCUGUCCCCGUCUUCCUGUGUGCACCGCGGGUGGCCUUUGCUGGAGCCUAGGACCCACUAGGAAUAGGUAAAUAAACCUUGUGUGAUUGCGUACUAAUUGUCUUGUGUGUUCAUGUGUUCCGGUUUGCCUCAACAGUCCCAGCCGUGGGCAAACUACGGCCCGCGGGCCGGAUCCGGCCCGUUUGAAAUGAAUAAAA